GAAAAAAAAACAUGCAAGAUUAAAUUUUUUAGAGAUUUCGGUGGAGAUCAAAAACUGAAGUUUUACAACCAAGGGGCCCAGAAGUAGAGUUGGGAAGGAGCCAUUGGCCCUUUCCCACUUUACACCCUGGCAUGAUGAUCUAAAGUUACGUUUUAUAGGUUAAAUACUCUUUGUGUGUUAAAACAGCUUUACGUGUAGCGCCUCACCUCCUGGAGUCAUCACACCUUUGAAGACGCAGAUAUUCUCUCCUCCGUUGACUUGCUGGAGCACUUUCAGCUCAUCCCGAGUUGACCCCAACCCCGACCCCCGGCGACCUUGUCCAAGGGUGACCUCCAGUUCUCUGAGAGGCAACAGAGGAGAAAGAUCCUCUUCGUUUGUCGUACAGGGUUCUCCAGGAGGAGCAGUUGGCUCUUGGCUCGGAUCAGGCUGGCGAUGGAUUGGAUAAUUUUAGCAUCUCUACCGGGCUGACCUGGGAUCUGUAAUACGAACACGUCACAUCAUGUACGCUGUGGAGCCGACAGCCGGACGUCAUGAACAUGCUCGACACUUACAGGAGCAUCCCUGUCUCCUCCAUGGUCGCCCCGGUAGAAGAGAGGCUGGCUGUUUUUCCGGAUUCUUCUCAUUGAGUCCUCAUGAUACAGAAACAAAAACAUUGAUUUUAACAUGCAUCCCUUAAAAUAUAUGGAUAUUUUACAUGAAAUGUAGAGUUUAGUUUAAUACAGAGUUACCUGAAUGAAUGAAUCCCAAAGUAAAAAACCAAAUGUGCACCACUUUACAUUACAAUUUGUAAUAACAAGGUAAUAAUGGGUACAUAUCUGCAUUAUCUUGUGUGCUAAUGACUGAGAGAAUAACCAUAUUUAGCCUAAAUACAUGUGUUAUCGCUGUGUGCUUCUACAAUGUUGUUUUAAGUGGAUAAAUAACUAUUUAAAGCACAUAUUCGCUCGCUCGUCGAAAAAUACCAUUGGAAGAUUUACACCACUUUUAUAUCUCUGGGUUUAUGACGAGUCAGGGUUAGCUUAGCUUAGCAUAAAGCGUGAUAGCACAAACUGUAGGCUUGGCUUUGACCAAAGUUUAAAAACAUGCCUAUCAAGACCUAAAAUCCAGUUGUUACGCAAUGAGGAGUUAAAAAACGACAACUUGUGGUUUAAGAGUGAAAAAAGUCAGUUACAUGUUGUAACUAUUUAGGCCAGGCUAGCCGCUUGUCUAUAUGCUAAGCUAUCGGCUAAACAACAGCUUUUACAUUUCGAAGAGACGAUACCUGUGGAAAAUGUGGAGCAAACCAGGUUCAUAUUAUUACCAAUGUGUUAUUACUUCUUGUAAUACAACCAGUGACCAUGCCACAUCGGUGUGAGCUCAUUCUUCAGUCUGGUGAGCAUCAUAGAGGAUUUAGACUGAAGGGGGCAGGUGAAAUGGGAUUAUGUCUCAUGUGCAUGGUUCGACUCCCACCGGGGAUUCGUGUUGAAAUCCACCUUUGGGAAACUGAAUUAAGAUGACAUUGAUCUCUCCCCCCCCCCCCACACACACACAUUGUAAACUAACAAGCCUCCUUUGUUCCCUUCACAGCCUGUCAGUGACUUAGAGUUUCUGUAACCUAAUCACUUCAUCCGCCGCCAUGUCAUCUGCUGGGCUCAGCGCUUCUGGGACAGGAGGCAGCAGGCAGGCAGCCAUGUCCUUAGAUUAGCGGCCUGUGUGUGCACGCAUGAGUGCACCUCAGCCUCAGAUGGUAAAUAGCAAAAGGAAAAACGAGGCUUGUGUGGUCAGUACUUUUUACUGCAGUUGCCAUACACAGCUGUGUUGCACCCUUCAGUGGCUGUAAAGAGAAGUGUUCCUGCCACUACGUAGAGCGGCAUGUGUUAGACAUCGAUCUGUAAUCAGGUUUUCCUUCAGUUUGAGGCUUUUUAAUCAUCUUAAAAAUGCAUGGUGAAUUUAUUCCUCUUUUUUUCCAUUGCCAGUGGUUCAGCUUCAGGAUUCUCGACUUAAGUUCAAGUCACUGAAAAAAUAACCUGAACUCCACUGACAGAAAAAAUAAAAAUGUACGAUCAAUAAAAUAAACAGCAUUAAAAUAAGCAUUAAAAAAAAUACUGUUAUUUAUUAUCAUGGAAAAUAAGAAUUAAAAUAAGCAUUAAAAUAAGUAAUACAAUAAGUAUUAAAAUAAGCAUAAAAAAAAGCAUUACAAUAAGCAUUAAAAUAAGCAUUGUAAUGAUGUCGCUGGACCAGGUGGAGCUCAUUGCUUAUGGGUAGUUUCAUAUUUAACAAUGCAUCGCACUUUAUACAAAAAAUGACAUGAACCUGCAGUACCUCAUAUUGUCUCACGUUGCUUUUUAUACCAUGUUAAAAAAAUAACAGUAUUUUAU
This is a long non-coding RNA of Pseudoliparis swirei, 2354 nucleotides long. RefSeq lists it as uncharacterized. The record is from RefSeq and is a predicted model, not a curated record. NCBI's taxonomy places the organism in Eukaryota, Metazoa, Chordata, Actinopteri, Perciformes, Liparidae. The transcript is spliced from 3 exons.